RNAcentral lists this ribosomal RNA (253 nucleotides) under uncultured bacterium. RNAcentral's name for it is "partial 16S ribosomal RNA". It matches the Rfam family "Bacterial small subunit ribosomal RNA", at positions 524 to 776 of the family's 1533-position model. The record is from RNAcentral.
GACGUAGGGCGCAAGCGUUGUCCGGAUUUAUUGGGCGUAAAGAGCUCGUAGGCGGCUUGCCACGUCUGCCGUGAAAACCAGCAGCUUAACUGUUGGCUUGCGGUUGAUACGGGUUGGCUGGAGUUCGGUAGGGGAGACUGGAAUUCCUGGUGUAGCGGUGAAAUGCGCAGAUAUCAGGAGGAACACCAGUGGCGAAGGCGGUUACCUGGAGCUUUGCUGACGCUGAUGCGCGAAAGCGUGGGGAGCGAUCCGG